UGGGGAAUAUUGCACAAUGGGCGCAAGCCUGAUGCAGCCAUGCCGCGUGUAUGAAGAAGGCCUUCGGGUUGUAAAGUACUUUCAGUCGGGAGGAAGGUGGUAGGUUAAUAACCUUAUCAAUUGACGUUACCGACAGAAGAAGCACCGGCUAACUCCGUGCCAGCAGCCGCGGUAAUACGGAGGGUGCAAGCGUUAAUCGGAAUUACUGGGCGUAAAGCGCACGCAGGCGGUUGAUUGAGUCAGAUGUGAAAUCCCCGGGCUUAACCCGGGAAUUGCAUCUGAUACUGGUCAGCUAGAGUCUUGUAGAGGGGGGUAGAAUUCCAUGUGUAGCGGUGAAAUGCGUAGAGAUGUGGAGGAAUACCGGUGGCGAAGGCGGCCCCCUGGACAAAGACUGACGCUCAGGUGCGAAAGCGUGGGGAGCAAACAGG
RNAcentral lists this ribosomal RNA (428 nucleotides) under Chloroflexota bacterium. RNAcentral describes it as "Chloroflexi bacterium partial 16S ribosomal RNA". It matches the Rfam family "Bacterial small subunit ribosomal RNA", at positions 355 to 776 of the family's 1533-position model. The record is from RNAcentral. Lineage: Bacteria; Bacillati; Chloroflexota.